This 500-nucleotide ribosomal RNA is filed under the name uncultured bacterium. RNAcentral's name for it is "partial 16S ribosomal RNA". It matches the Rfam family "Bacterial small subunit ribosomal RNA", at positions 30 to 523 of the family's 1533-position model. The record is from RNAcentral.
ACUGAACGCUGGCGGCAUGCUUUACACAUGCAAGUCGAACGGCAGCAUGGGCUUCGGCCUGAUGGCGAGUGGCGAACGGGUGAGUAAUGCAUCGGAACGUGCCGUGUAAUGGGGGAUAACAGAGCGAAAGUUGUGCUAAUACCGCAUACGUCCUACGGGAGAAAGCAGGGGAUCUUCGGACCUUGCGUUAUACGCGCGGCCGAUGUCCGAUUAGCUAGUUGGUGUGGUAAAGGCUCACCAAGGCGACGAUCGGUAGCUGGUCUGAGAGGACGAUCCGCCACACUGGAACUGAGACACGGUCCAGACUCCUACGGGAGGCAGCAGUGGGGAAUUUUGGACAAUGGGCGAAAGCCUGAUCCAGCAAUGCCGCGUGAGUGAAGAAGGCCCUUGGGUUGUAAAGCUCUUUCGUUUGGGAAGAAGGAAGUGUGGCUAAUAUCCACGCUGACAGACGGUACCAAAAUAAGAAGCACCGGCUAACUACGUGCCAGCCGCCGCCGUAA